CACUUUGCGGCCUGGGGCCGUUGGAGAUCUUCCUAGAGAAGUCCGGUUUAGGACACUGGGCUCCUUCUCUGCUGGGGAGAAAGCCAGAGAACUCGUGGGCUCCGAUCCACAGCUGCCUUCUAGGUAGCUACGCUGUGCAGCAAUUCAGUGCCCAUAGAGGGCAUGGUAUCUGGAACCUACCGUGACCAAGGACCCCUGUAUGGAAGUGCAGCCUGGAACCAGGCUGACGAUAAUCUAAAGAGAUUCCAGCGGCUGUCAGCACUUUGAAACAAGGUCCGACAAGGAAUUGGAAUUUCCCCAGGCAUCUCCUGGUGCCGGCCAGAAGGGGAACUUGACUCCAGGGAAGAGAUUUUCCACUUGUCAGACCACCUGGAGGACAGACAGACAGGAGCUGAGAUAAAGCUAAGUGGAUGACUCGGUAGGAUUGGAGUUGCAGACCGAUGUGAGCAGCCAUGUGAUUCGGGGAAUCGGACGAGUCCUCUACGAGAGCAAAGAGCAGCAAAUGCUAUUAACCGCUGAGCCAUCUCUCCAGCUUCCAGUAUUUGUUCUUAAAGUCACACAGGAGGUUGGGGAAGCCCAUACUUUACCCCGGGAAGGUUACAGACAUUGGUUUUGUCAAGUUUCUCCUCUUCGUUUCAUCUGACGCUUUCUAGUUUCAAACCGUGGUGGUCUGGGUUUCUGAAAUGGCAC
Molecule: long non-coding RNA, 690 nt
Organism: Onychomys torridus (southern grasshopper mouse)
Lineage: Eukaryota; Metazoa; Chordata; Mammalia; Rodentia; Cricetidae
Exons: 3
Source: RefSeq, a predicted model, not a curated record